UACGAAGGGGGCUAGCGUUGCUCGGAAUUACUGGGCGUAAAGCGUGCGCAGGCGGCUUCUCAAGUCAGGGGUGAAAGCCCAGAGCUCAACUCUGGAAUUGCCUUUGAGACUGAGUGGCUUGAGUACGAGAGAGGUGAGUGGAAUUCCCAGUGUAGAGGUGAAAUUCGUAGAUAUUGGGAAGAACACCGGUGGCGAAGGCGGCUCACUGGCGCGUAACUGACGCUCAUGCACGACAGCGUGGGGAUCAAACAGG
Molecule: ribosomal RNA, 253 nt
Filed under: uncultured bacterium
Lineage: Bacteria
Description: partial 16S ribosomal RNA
Rfam family: Bacterial small subunit ribosomal RNA
Source: RNAcentral